This 1470-nucleotide ribosomal RNA is filed under the name metagenome. RNAcentral's name for it is "bacterial SSU rRNA". It matches the Rfam family "Bacterial small subunit ribosomal RNA". The record is from RNAcentral.
AGAGUUUGAUCCUGGCUCAGGAUGAACGCUGGCGGCGUGCCUAACACAUGCAAGUCGAACGGACUUACAUUGAAGCCUAGCGAUACGUAAGUUAGUGGCGGACGGGUGAGUAACGCGUGGGUAACCUGCCUUGUACUGGGGGACAACAGUUGGAAACGACUGCUAAUACCGCAUAAGCGCACAGCUUCGCAUGAAGCAGUGUGAAAAACUCCGGUGGUACAAGAUGGACCCGCGUCUGAUUAGCUGGUUGGUGAGGUAACGGCCCACCAAGGCGACGAUCAGUAGCCGGCCUGAGAGGGUGAACGGCCACAUUGGGACUGAGACACGGCCCAAACUCCUACGGGAGGCAGCAGUGGGGAAUAUUGCACAAUGGGGAAACCCUGAUGCAGCGACGCCGCGUGGAGGAAGAAGGUCUUCGGAUUGUAAACUCCUGUUGUUGAGGAAGAUAAUGACGGUACUCAACAAGGAAGUGACGGCUAACUACGUGCCAGCAGCCGCGGUAAAACGUAGGUCACAAGCGUUGUCCGGAAUUACUGGGUGUAAAGGGAGCGCAGGCGGGCGAUCAAGUUGGAAGUGAAAUCCAUGGGCUCAACCCAUGAACUGCUUUCAAAACUGAUUGUCUCGAGUAGUGCAGAGGUAGGCGGAAUUCCCGGUGUAGCGGUGGAAUGCGUAGAUAUCGGGAGGAACACCAGUGGCGAAGGCGGCCUACUGGGCACCAACUGACGCUGAGGCUCGAAAGUGUGGGUAGCAAACAGGAUUAGAUACCCUGGUAGUCCACACCGUAAACGAUGAUUACUAGGUGUUGGAGGAUUGACCCCUUCAGUGCCGCAGUUAACACAAUAAGUAAUCCACCUGGGGAGUACGACCGCAAGGUUGAAACUCAAAGGAAUUGACGGGGGCCCGCACAAGCAGUGGAGUAUGUGGUUUAAUUCGACGCAACGCGAAGAACCUUACCAAGUCUUGACAUCCUGCGACGAUGCUAGAAAUAGUAUUUUCCUUCGGGACGCAGAGACAGGUGGUUCAUGGUUGUCGUCAGCUCGUGUCGUGAGAUGUUGGGUUAAGUCCCGCAACGAGCGCAACCCUUAUGGUCAGUUACUACGCAAGAGGACUCUGGCCAGACUGCCGUUGACAAAACGGAGGAAGGUGGGGAUGACGUCAAAUCAUCAUGCCCUUUAUGACUUGGGCUACACACGUACUACAAUGGCGUUAAACAAAGAGAAGCAAGACCGCGAGGUGGAGCAAAACUCAGAAACAACGUCCCAGUUCGGACUGCAGGCUGCAACUCGCCUGCACGAAGUCGGAAUUGCUAGUAAUCGUGGAUCAGCAUGCCACGGUGAAUACGUUCCCGGGCAUUGUACACACCGCCCGUCACACCAUGAGAGCCGGGGGGACCCGAAGUCGGUAGUCUAACCGCAAGGAGGACGCCGCCGAAGGUAAAACUGGUGAUUGGGGUGAAGUCGUAACAAGGUA